This 126-nucleotide small RNA is filed under the name Salmonella enterica. Its description in RNAcentral is "RtT sRNA". It matches the Rfam family "RtT RNA". From Rfam's summary of the family: This family represents a bacterial cis-regulatory element known as RtT RNA. The exact function of RtT is unknown although it is thought that it may be involved in changing the cellular response in relation to amino acid starvation. Lineage: Bacteria; Pseudomonadati; Pseudomonadota; Gammaproteobacteria; Enterobacterales; Enterobacteriaceae. The record is from RNAcentral.
UUGCUAUCUGCGAUAUGGAAGAUUCGAACCUGCCGCAGGUUCGGGUCGAACGCAGUGAGACAACGGAGCCGUUUACGGCGGCGGCCCGUAGGGCGAGCGAAGCGAGUCAUCCUGCACGACCCACCA